GAGGAGGAGUGACAGUGUCCUCUUCUAAGUGUGAAGCAAGCAGAUAGUGUUGCUUUAAUGUAAUUGCUGUCUGCUGUUGAUGACUGUUCUUUCUUUUCUGUUGGGAAGCUGGAAGAAGAGAGCACAGGCUGA
This 132-nucleotide small nucleolar RNA is filed under the name Pelodiscus sinensis (Chinese soft-shelled turtle). RNAcentral's name for it is "Small nucleolar RNA U3 (ENSPSIG00000019679.1)". It matches the Rfam family "Small nucleolar RNA U3", at positions 81 to 214 of the family's 219-position model. Rfam says of the family: Small nucleolar RNAs (snoRNAs) are involved in the processing and modification of rRNA in the nucleolus. There are two main classes of snoRNAs: the box C/D class, and the box H/ACA class. The record is from RNAcentral. Lineage: Eukaryota; Metazoa; Chordata; Testudines; Trionychidae.